This is a long non-coding RNA of Syngnathoides biaculeatus (alligator pipefish), 1518 nucleotides long. RefSeq lists it as uncharacterized. NCBI's taxonomy places the organism in Eukaryota, Metazoa, Chordata, Actinopteri, Syngnathiformes, Syngnathidae. The transcript is spliced from 4 exons. The record is from RefSeq and is a predicted model, not a curated record.
ACAAAACAGCCAAUUAGACACCUAGGCCUGACGGCGGAGUUGACUGUGAGAAGCUGCAUAAUUAUUGAGUACAAAAUGUGACAAACGGACUAUAUCACAAAAUGCUGCCAUUGUCUUGUCACACCGGGGGUUAGAUUGAAAGGCGAGAAAAGGCUAAAGCCUACCGGUAGCCAUGUGGACAGUGUAGGCGACCCGUGGGUGCAGCUCAGCUUUGAGGCACAAACAAAAGAGCAUCGCUGGAACGUUUUCUUUUCUGAUGACGGUUCACUUUCAAAGGUCGCUAACUCAGUUUGCAACAUUGCUCCUUCAAAAUAUGAUAUACAUCUCGGAAAAAAUAAUAUUGAAUCUGAGAGAGAUAGAAAAUGUCACCCUAUUGGGCAUUCUUUUAGAGUAACCUACAUUUUUGCACAGACAGGAGUGUGGUUAUUGAUUUAGUUCUGGAAAUGUUUAAGUGUAAAUGGAUCAUGUUUUCUUUAUGUGUUCAUUAGAAUCACUCAUACGUAAAACUAUCCUAUACCGGGAACAAUUUCACCCUCUUUUCCUCGAAAAAUAAUCCGAUAAUAUAUGAUAACGUUUAACAGAUUUUAAUCAUGUGCAAUCAAUGUACAUAUGCGAUUGGGGUAGACUGAAAUGAUUUUUUUAAUUACUUGAUUUAAGAAUCCAUGCAUCUUCUCAGAAUAUUUCAGUAGUCCAUAGCGUAAUACAGAGCCCUCACUCAUUCAGUGCACGUGUGUUAAAAAUGUUUGGUGUGUUUACUAAGGGAGUUCAACGCGAGGUCGGUCUGCAACUGAUGGGUGCGCACAUAUACGGACGUCCCUGUUAAGUAUAAAAAGAACACAUUUAAUAUGAACAUCCACGUUAAAUUACUUGCAGGGGGUAGGUUAUCAGUAGACAUUUAGGAAUGUAUGUGAUUCAAUUACAAAUUGCGACAUUUUGUAAAAAUGUGCAACUAAAAACCUUCCUAGGGUAUUUCGGAAUGGCCCAGAGAACUCCGGGUGGGUGGGGGUGAUCAAUCUCUCGCUGACUGCAGAGCCUGACACAGCGCCACUUUUCCUAAAUAACGUGCAAACCUCAAAACACCGCCCCGCCCGCCCCUUUUCCCUACAUUAUAAACGGCCACUGCGAAAAUAUCGUGGAUUUCUUAUUCGAACAUUAUGCACCAGUGUCACGACCCAUCGGAACGGGAGUAGGAUCCAAAUGCAGGACUCGGAAGAUGCAAGUCUGUCCGUCCAGGCUGUGAGCUCCAACAGUGACCGCUAGUGUCAGUUCACGUCAGCCAUACAUUCUCCGCCCGAGCUGUAGUGGGAACUUCCACGGGGUUAGAAGAGUUUUCCUGCUGUGAAGGCAAUACCAACAUUUCCCACACACCACCUGAGGCUUCUGUCAUGAGUGGUGAAACAUCUGCAACAGAGAGGCUAGCUAGCCGCCAUUUCCUCUCUCUCAAUUACACUAUAUUUUAUUUUGUUUGUAACAUAUUUCAAGAAAAAAGUUAUUUGUUCUAAAUGUUAAACAUACAUG